Molecule: ribosomal RNA, 253 nt
Filed under: uncultured bacterium
Lineage: Bacteria
Description: partial 16S ribosomal RNA
Rfam family: Bacterial small subunit ribosomal RNA
Source: RNAcentral
UACGGGGGGGGCAAGCGUUGUUCGGAAUUACUGGGCGUAAAGGGCUCGUAGGCGGCCAACUAAGUCAGACGUGAAAUCCCUCGGCUUAACCGGGGAACUGCGUCUGAUACUGGAUGGCUUGAGGUUGGGAGAGGGAUGCGGAAUUCCAGGUGUAGCGGUGAAAUGCGUAGAUAUCGUCAAGAACACCGAUAGUGAAGACAGCUUACUAAACUUUAACUGACGCUGAGGCACGAAAGUGUGGGGAUCAAACAGG